This 473-nucleotide ribosomal RNA is filed under the name uncultured delta proteobacterium. RNAcentral's name for it is "bacterial SSU rRNA". It matches the Rfam family "Bacterial small subunit ribosomal RNA", at positions 400 to 863 of the family's 1533-position model. Lineage: Bacteria; Deltaproteobacteria. The record is from RNAcentral.
CGUGGAUGAUGAAGGCCUUCGGGUCGUAAAAUCCUGUCAGAUGGAAAGAAGUGUAUAUUACUUAAUACGUGAUAUAUUUGACGGUACCAUCAAAGGAAGCACCGGCUAACUCCGUGCCAGCAGCCGCGGUAAUACGGAGGGUGCAAGCGUUGUUCGGAAUUACUGGGCGUAAAGCGCGCGUAGGCGGUUUUAUAAGUCAGAUGUGAAAGUUCACGGCUCAACCAUGGAAGUGCAUUUGAAACUGUAGGACUUGAGUAUUGGAGGGGGUAGUGGAAUUCCCGGUGUAGAGGUGAAAUUCGUAGAUAUCGGGAGGAAUACCGGUGGCGAAGGCGACUACCUGGCCAAAUACUGACGCUGAGGUGCGAAAGCGCGGGGAGCAAACAGGAUUAGAUACCCUGGUAGUCCACGCCGUAAACGAUGUCAACUAGGUGUUGGGAAGGUUAAUCUCUUCAUUGCCGCAGCUAACGCAUUAA